UGAGCCAUCUGCCCUUCUCAUCGGAAUAAGCGUUGGAAACGACGUCUAAUGCCGAAUACGACCUCCUUUCACAUGAUCGGAGGUGGAAAGCUCCGGCGGAGAAGGAUGAGCUCGCGGCCUAUCAGCUAGUUGGUGUGGGUAACGCCCACCAAGGCGACGACGGGUAGCCGGCCUGAGAGGGUGACCGGCCACACGUGGGACUGAGACACGGCCCAGACCUCCGUACGGGAGG
RNAcentral lists this ribosomal RNA (232 nucleotides) under uncultured bacterium. RNAcentral's name for it is "partial 16S ribosomal RNA". It matches the Rfam family "Bacterial small subunit ribosomal RNA", at positions 118 to 347 of the family's 1533-position model. The record is from RNAcentral.